RNAcentral lists this ribosomal RNA (253 nucleotides) under uncultured prokaryote. RNAcentral describes it as "partial 16S ribosomal RNA". It matches the Rfam family "Bacterial small subunit ribosomal RNA", at positions 524 to 776 of the family's 1533-position model. The record is from RNAcentral.
UACGUAGGCAGCAAGCGUUGUUCGGAGUUACUGGGCGUAAAGGGUGUGUAGGCGGUUCUUUAAGUUUGGUGUGAAAUCUCCCGGCUCAACCGGGAGGGUGCGCCGGAUACUGAGGGACUAGAGUACGGGAGAGGAAAGUGGAAUUCCUGGUGUAGCGGUGAAAUGCGUAGAUAUCGGGAGGAACACCUGUGGCGAAAGCGGCUCACUGGACCAUUACUGACGCUGAGGAGCGAAAGCGUGGGGAGCGAACAGG